CAAUACGCACAAGAAGCCAUCUCCACUGAUUGGCCUCUCCGAAAAAUCUGGGUUACUAUUCAUUUUAAGUGAUUAUUAGUAAAGGUCAUGUAACUUCUCCAUCCUAACUCAUUUUCUUCUGAAACUUGACGAGUGCUUAUAUAAUUAAAUUACACACAAAAACAUCAUCAAUAUAGAGUUUAGCUAUACAGUCAAAUUUUCAGUCCUCACAGUUUCUUUUAUUUACGAUUGUUUUCCUGGAUUAUCCCUUCAAAUAUA
RNAcentral lists this long non-coding RNA (258 nucleotides) under Ananas comosus (pineapple). RNAcentral describes it as "long non-coding RNA (ACOM_LNC020914)". Lineage: Eukaryota; Viridiplantae; Streptophyta; Magnoliopsida; Poales; Bromeliaceae. The record is from RNAcentral.